This 643-nucleotide ribosomal RNA is filed under the name Enterobacter cloacae. RNAcentral describes it as "bacterial SSU rRNA". It matches the Rfam family "Bacterial small subunit ribosomal RNA", at positions 112 to 751 of the family's 1533-position model. Lineage: Bacteria; Pseudomonadati; Pseudomonadota; Gammaproteobacteria; Enterobacterales; Enterobacteriaceae. The record is from RNAcentral.
AAUGUCUGGGAAACUGCCUGAUGGAGGGGGAUAACUACUGGAAACGGUAGCUAAUACCGCAUAAUGUCGCAAGACCAAAGAGGGGGACCUUCGGGCCUCUUGCCAUCAGAUGUGCCCAGAUGGGAUUAGCUAGUAGGUGGGGUAACGGCUCACCUAGGCGACGAUCCCUAGCUGGUCUGAGAGGAUGACCAGCCACACUGGAACUGAGACACGGUCCAGACUCCUACGGGAGGCAGCAGUGGGGAAUAUUGCACAAUGGGCGCAAGCCUGAUGCAGCCAUGCCGCGUGUAUGAAGAAGGCCUUCGGGUUGUAAAGUACUUUCAGCGGGGAGGAAGGUGUUGUGGUUAAUAACCACAGCAAUUGACGUUACCCGCAGAAGAAGCACCGGCUAACUCCGUGCCAGCAGCCGCGGUAAUACGGAGGGUGCAAGCGUUAAUCGGAAUUACUGGGCGUAAAGCGCACGCAGGCGGUCUGUCAAGUCGGAUGUGAAAUCCCCGGGCUCAACCUGGGAACUGCAUUCGAAACUGGCAGGCUGGAGUCUUGUAGAGGGGGGUAGAAUUCCAGGUGUAGCGGUGAAAUGCGUAGAGAUCUGGAGGAAUACCGGUGGCGAAGGCGGCCCCCUGGACAAAGACUGACGCUCAGG